This 110-nucleotide microRNA precursor is filed under the name Pelobates cultripes (western spadefoot toad). Lineage: Eukaryota; Metazoa; Chordata; Amphibia; Anura; Pelobatidae. The record is from RNAcentral.
UGUAAUGAAAAAUCCUCUGGAGUUCUCUCUUCAUCGUCGUGUGUGUAUAUAUAUAUAUAUACACACACACACACACACGACGAUGAAGAGAGAACUCCAGAGGAUUUUUC